AACGAACGCUGGCGGCAUGCCUAACACAUGCAAGUCGAACGAGACCUUCGGGUCUAGUGGCGCACGGGUGCGUAACGCGUGGGAACCUGCCCUUAGGUUCGGCAUAACUCCCCGAAAGGGGUGCUAAUACCGGAUAAUGUCUUCGGACCAAAGAUUUAUCGCCUUUGGAUGGGCCCGCGUUGGAUUAGCUAGUUGGUAGGGUAAAAGCCUACCAAGGCGACGAUCCAUAGCUGGUCUGAGAGGAUGAUCAGCCACACUGGGACUGAGACACGGCCCAGACUCCUACGGGAAGCAGCAGUGGGGAAUAUUGGAAAAUGGGCGAAAGCAUGAUCCAGCAAUGCCGCGUGAGUGAUGAAGGCCGUAGGGUUGUAAAGCUCUUUUACCCGGGAUGAUAAUGACAGUACCGGGAGAAUAAGCUCCGGCUAACUCCGUG
Molecule: ribosomal RNA, 433 nt
Filed under: uncultured bacterium
Lineage: Bacteria
Description: partial 16S ribosomal RNA
Rfam family: Bacterial small subunit ribosomal RNA
Source: RNAcentral